This is a long non-coding RNA of Alligator sinensis (Chinese alligator), 648 nucleotides long. RefSeq lists it as uncharacterized. The transcript has 3 exons. The record is from RefSeq and is a predicted model, not a curated record. Lineage: Eukaryota; Metazoa; Chordata; Crocodylia; Alligatoridae.
AGCACCCCCUGGUUUCUGGCCUGAGCCACUGCAGGCACAAGUAUACCUGUGUCUCCUGUGUACCCAGAGUGAAUUCUGCCGUCCUGUAGAGGCGCACGGCUCUUCACUGACUUAGAUGCCUGUGGAGAUGGAGCCUCACAGUUACAUAGGAGCAGGUCUAUCCUGCAUGAAGAAGUACUGUAAUGAGGACUGCUUUUCAAGGCUUUCCAACCUGGACCCCAAGGGGAAAGUUUCAAGUUGGAGCAUCAUGUGAAGAAACCUGCUGUCUGCCCAGUAAUGAUUAUGUGCUUUCCCCAAUGACUAUAAUGCUCAGUGCACCAACAACCACGAAUGUAUGACUUCCCCCCAACUAAGCCAGCAUCCACCAUCCUGAGCCACAGAGUCAGUGUCCCUCUUUUGCCUGGUUUCCUUCUGCCCCAGGAAACUUUCCGUCUUGGCUGUCCAGCGGCCUGGCCACAGCAGGCAAUUGUUCUCAGGCUUCCCUGGCCUGCAGUCUUGUGAACAGUUUGUGGUCCCGCAACAUGGGUGUUCAAGGUACAAAAUUCCUCAGGGGGAGGUAAGUCUAAAACCUAGGUCCCCGAAAUCUCCUCUAUCCUGGGUAGGUGCUACAAAUAUCAGCUUGCUGGAAAAAAUACAGGAGAAAGACGA